Molecule: ribosomal RNA, 275 nt
Rfam family: Bacterial large subunit ribosomal RNA
AAUAUUGAGGUUCUAACUCUGUCCCGUUAUCCGGGACGAGGACCAUGUCUGGUGGGUAGUUUGACUGGGGCGGUCUCUCCUAAAGAGUAACGGAGGAGUACGAAGGUGCGCUCAGCGUGGUCGGAAAUCACGCGUAGAGUAUAAAGGCAAAAGCGCGCUUAACUGCGAGACCCAACAAUAUUGAGGUUCUAACUCUGUCCCGUUAUCCGGGACGAGGACCAUGUCUGGUGGGUAGUUUGACUGGGGCGGUCUCUCCUAAAGAGUAACGGAGGAGU